GAUGAACGCUGGCGGCGUGCCUAAUACAUGCAAGUCGAGCGAACGGACGAGAAGCUUGCUUCUCGGAUGUUAGCGGCGGACGGGUGUGUAACACGUGGAUAACCUACCUAUAAGACUGGGAUAACUUCGGGAAACCGUAGCUAAUACCGGAUAAUAUUUUGAACCGCAUGGUUCAAAAGUGAAAGACGGUCGUGCGGGCACGUAUAGAUGCAUCCGCGCUUCAUUAGCUAGUUGGUAAGGUAACGGCUUACCAAGGCAACGAUGCAUAGCCGACCUGAGAGGCUGAUAGGCCACCCUGGAACUGAGACGCGGUCCGGACUACUGAGGGAGGCAGCAGUAGGGAAUCUUCCGCAAUGGGCGAGAGCCUGACGGAGCAACGCGGCGUGAGUGAUGACGGUGUUCGGAUCGUGAAACUCUGUUAUUAGGGAAGAACAUAUGUGUAAGUAACUGUGCACAUCUUGACGGUACCUAAUAAGAAAGCCACGGCUAACUACGUG
This 497-nucleotide ribosomal RNA is filed under the name uncultured bacterium. RNAcentral's name for it is "partial 16S ribosomal RNA". It matches the Rfam family "Bacterial small subunit ribosomal RNA", at positions 28 to 507 of the family's 1533-position model. The record is from RNAcentral.